UGGAACAUGUGGCUUAAUUCGAUGAUACGCUGAGGAACCUUACCUGGGCUUAAAUGUGAAGUGCAUGGAUUGGAUACAAUCAUUUCCUUCGGGACCCUUUACAAGGUGCUGCAUGGUUGUCGUCAGCUCGUGCCGUGAGGUGUCGGGUUGAGUCCCAUAACGAGCGCAACCCCUAUUGUUAGUUACCAGCGCGUAAAGGCGGGGACUCUAGCGAAACUGCCGGUGUAAACCGCGAGGAAGGUGGGGAUGACGUCAAAUCAGCACGGCCCUUAUGUCCAGGGCUACACACGUGUUACAAUGGCCGGUACAGCGGGCAGCUAGGCAGCGAUGUCAUGCUAAUCCCGAAAGCCGGUCCCAGUUCGGAUUGGAGUCUGCAACCCGACUCCAUGAAGGUGGAAUCGCUAGUAAUCGCGCAUCAGCCAUGGCGCGGUGAAUACGUUCCCGGGCCUGUACACACCGCCCGUCAAGCCAUGGAAGUCUGGGGUGCCUGAAGGCCGUAACCGCAAGGAGCGGUCUAG
This 518-nucleotide ribosomal RNA is filed under the name uncultured organism. RNAcentral describes it as "bacterial SSU rRNA". It matches the Rfam family "Bacterial small subunit ribosomal RNA", at positions 933 to 1460 of the family's 1533-position model. The record is from RNAcentral.